RNAcentral lists this ribosomal RNA (777 nucleotides) under uncultured Neocallimastigales. Its description in RNAcentral is "partial large subunit ribosomal RNA". It matches the Rfam family "Eukaryotic large subunit ribosomal RNA", at positions 23 to 632 of the family's 3401-position model. The record is from RNAcentral. Lineage: Eukaryota; Fungi; Neocallimastigomycota; Neocallimastigomycetes; Neocallimastigales.
AGAGAGAGACAUGCGCGCAUAUCAAUAAGCGGAGGAAAAGAAACUAACUAGGAUUCCCUCAGUAACGGCGAGUGAAGCGGGAAGAGCUCAAAUUUGAAAUCUUCAAGGUUCUACCUUGACGAAUUGUAGUUUAAAGAAGUGUUUUCUGUUGGAGUUUUGGUAAAAGUUCUUUGGAAUAGGACAUCAUAGAGGGUGAGAAUCCCGUAUUUGACCAUUAUUUCUAGCUUUGUGAUACACUUUCAAAGAGUCGGAUUGUUUGGGAAUGCAGUCCAAAAUGGGUGGUAAAUUUCAUCUAAAGCUAAAUAUUGGCGAGAGACCGAUAGCGAACAAGUACCGUGAGGGAAAGAUGAAAAGAACUUUGAAAAGAGAGUUAAACAGUACGUGAAAUUGUCAAAAGGGAAGCGUUUGACACCAGUGUUGUUUUCUCGAAAAUCAAUUAAAAAAGGCCGGAUUUUGUGUUGUAUUGACCUUAUAAGCUUUCUGCACUCUUUUCAUGUUUAUUUUUAAUGCACUUUUCGUUUAACAAGUCAACAUCAAUUUCUUUUGUUGUAAAAAGGGUCAUUGGAAGGUGGCUUUCUUUUCGGAGAAAGUGUUUAUAGCCUUUGACUCCUGCAAUCGGAGAGACUGAGGUCUGCAGCGUAGAUCCUUCGGGAUUAGAUUACAUUUGUGCUAAGUUAUAGCCUUUCAUAGACAACUUGUUGACUAUGAUUUAGUCAUGUAGCUUACUCGCUUAUGUAUUUUACCUACGCUUAGGAUGUUGACAGCAGUAUAGACUGU